AAUACAUGCAAGUCGAGCGAAUGGAUUAAGAGCUUGCUCUUAUGAAGUUAGCGGCGGACGGGUGAGUAACACGUGGGUAACCUGCCCAUAAGACUGGGAUAACUCCGGGAAACCGGGGCUAAUACCGGAUAACAUUUUGAACCGCAUGGUUCGAAAUUGAAAGGCGGCUUCGGCUGUCACUUAUGGAUGGACCCGCGUCGCAUUAGCUAGUUGGUGAGGUAACGGCUCACCAAGGCAACGAUGCGUAGCCGACCUGAGAGGGUGAUCGGCCACACUGGGACUGAGACACGGCCCAGACUCCUACGGGAGGCAGCAGUAGGGAAUCUUCCGCAAUGGACGAAAGUCUGACGGAGCAACGCCGCGUGAGUGAUGAAGGCUUUCGGGUCGUAAAACUCUGUUGUUAGGGAAGAACAAGUGCUAGUUGAAUAAGCUGGCACCUUGACGGUACCUAACCAGAAAGCCACGGCUAACUACGUGCCAGCAGCCGCGGUAAUACGUAGGUGGCAAGCGUUAUCCGGAAUUAUUGGGCGUAAAGCGCGCGCAGGUGGUUUCUUAAGUCUGAUGUGAAAGCCCACGGCUCAACCGUGGAGGGUCAUUGGAAACUGGGAGACUUGAGUGCAGAAGAGGAAAGUGGAAUUCCAUGUGUAGCGGUGAAAUGCGUAGAGAUAUGGAGGAACACCAGUGGCGAAGGCGACUUUCUGGUCUGUAACUGACACUGAGGCGCGAAAGCGUGGGGAGCAAACAGGAUUAGAUAC
RNAcentral lists this ribosomal RNA (755 nucleotides) under Bacillus cereus. Its description in RNAcentral is "bacterial SSU rRNA". It matches the Rfam family "Bacterial small subunit ribosomal RNA", at positions 50 to 785 of the family's 1533-position model. Lineage: Bacteria; Bacillati; Bacillota; Bacilli; Caryophanales; Bacillaceae. The record is from RNAcentral.